UUGCCCAUCGGGGCCUCGGAUACCUGCUUUAAUUUUU
Molecule: unclassified non-coding RNA, 37 nt
Organism: Bison bison bison
Lineage: Eukaryota; Metazoa; Chordata; Mammalia; Artiodactyla; Bovidae
Source: Ensembl